CCUACGGGAGGCUGCAGUGGGGAAUAUUGGACAAUGGGCGAAAGCCUGAUCCAGCCAUGCCGCGUGUGUGAAGAAGGCCUUCGGGUUGUAAAGCACUUUCAGUGGGGAAGAAAGCCUUGGGGCUAAUACCCUCGAGGAAGGACAUCACCCACAGAAGAAGCACCGGCUAACUCCGUGCCAGCAGCCGCGGUAAUACGGAGGGUGCGAGCGUUAAUCGGAAUUACUGGGCGUAAAGCGCGCGUAGGCGGUCUGAUAAGCCGGUUGUGAAAGCCCCGGGCUCAACCUGGGAACGGCAUCCGGAACUGUCAGGCUAGAGUGCAGGAGAGGAAGGUAGAAUUCCCGGUGUAGCGGUGAAAUGCGUAGAGAUCGGGAGGAAUACCAGUGGCGAAGGCGGCCUUCUGGACUGACACUGACGCUGAGGUACGAAAGCGUGGGUAGCAAACAGGAUUAGAUACCCGUGUAGUC
This 465-nucleotide ribosomal RNA is filed under the name Vreelandella stevensii. Its description in RNAcentral is "partial 16S ribosomal RNA". It matches the Rfam family "Bacterial small subunit ribosomal RNA", at positions 338 to 795 of the family's 1533-position model. Lineage: Bacteria; Pseudomonadati; Pseudomonadota; Gammaproteobacteria; Oceanospirillales; Halomonadaceae. The record is from RNAcentral.